AGUGAACGCUGGCGGUAGGCCUAACACAUGCAAGUCGAACGGCAGCACAGUAAGAGCUUGCUCUUACGGGUGGCGAGUGGCGGACGGGUGAGGAAUACAUCGGAAUCUACUUUUUCGUGGGGGAUAACGUAGGGAAACUUACGCUAAUACCGCAUACGACCUACGGGUGAAAGCAGGGGAUCUUCGGACCUUGCGCGAUUGAAUGAGCCGAUGUCGGAUUAGCUAGUUGGCGGGGUAAAGGCCCACCAAGGCGACGAUCCGUAGCUGGUCUGAGAGGAUGGUCGGCCACACUAGAACUGAGACACGGUCCAGACUCCUACGGGAGGAAGCAGUGGGGAAUAUUGGACAAUGGGCGCAAGCCUGAUCCAGCCAUACCGCGUGGGUGAAGAAGGCCUUCGGGUUGUAAAGCCCUUUUGUUGGGAAAGAAAAGCAGCAGGUUAAUACCCCGCUGUUCUGACGGUACCCAAAGAAUAAGCACCGGCUAACUUCGUG
Molecule: ribosomal RNA, 492 nt
Filed under: uncultured bacterium
Lineage: Bacteria
Description: partial 16S ribosomal RNA
Rfam family: Bacterial small subunit ribosomal RNA
Source: RNAcentral